This 253-nucleotide ribosomal RNA is filed under the name uncultured bacterium. RNAcentral's name for it is "partial 16S ribosomal RNA". It matches the Rfam family "Bacterial small subunit ribosomal RNA", at positions 524 to 776 of the family's 1533-position model. The record is from RNAcentral.
UACGUAGGGGGCAAGCGUUGUCCGGAAUUAUUGGGCGUAAAGAGCGUGUAGGCGGCCCGAUUAGUCCGCUGUGAAAGUCCAGGGCUCAACCCUGGAAUGCCGGUGGAUACUGUCGGGCUAGAGUCCGGAAGGGGCGAGUGGAAUCCCUGGUGUAGCGGUGAAAUGCGCAGAUAUCAGGAGGAACACCAAUGGCGAAGGCAGCUCGCUGGGACGUGACUGACGCUGAGACGCGAAAGCGUGGGGAGCAAACAGG